AAAUACUAAAAACACCUAGAUAGCCUGAAAUCUAUCAAAAACCAUCAUCAAAACCUUCCCCCCUUGAUUUGGCCAGCAUGCUUCCAUCAUGAAAACUUGAGUUUCAACCAUAGAAAAUGAAAAAGAAAGCAUGGGUAAGGUAGAUCUUAAGCUAAAUCGCGAAAUCUUACCUCCGAUCGCUUCGUUUUUUGAAAAUCUAAUGAAUUUCUCUUGAAU
This 216-nucleotide long non-coding RNA is filed under the name Theobroma cacao (cacao). RNAcentral's name for it is "long non-coding RNA (TCAC_LNC003136)". The record is from RNAcentral. Lineage: Eukaryota; Viridiplantae; Streptophyta; Magnoliopsida; Malvales; Malvaceae.